ACCCGCACAAGCAGCGGAGCGUGUGGUUAAUUUCGAUGCUACACGAAGAACCUUACCAGGGUUUGACAUGCAAGUGGUAGGAAACUGAAAGGGACGACCCUUCGGGAGCUUGCACAGGUGCUGCAUGGCUGUCGUCAGCUCGUGUCGUGAGAUGUUCGGUUAAGUCCGCUAACGAGCGCAACCCUCACUGUGUGUUAUACGUGUCACACGGGACUGCCGGUUUUAAGCCGGAGGAAGGUGGGAUGACGUCAAGUCAGCAUGGCCUUUAUAUCCUGGGCUACACACACGCUACAAUGGUCGGUACAAUAGGUUGCCAAGCCGCGAGGCGGAGCCAAUCCAUAAAGCCGGCCUCAGUUCAGAUUGUAGGCUGCAACUCGCCUGCAUGAAGAUGGAGUUGCUAGUAACCGCAGGUCAGCAAUACUGCGGUGAAUACGUUCCCGGGUCUU
RNAcentral lists this ribosomal RNA (446 nucleotides) under uncultured Anaerolineaceae bacterium. RNAcentral describes it as "bacterial SSU rRNA". It matches the Rfam family "Bacterial small subunit ribosomal RNA", at positions 919 to 1382 of the family's 1533-position model. The record is from RNAcentral. Lineage: Bacteria; Bacillati; Chloroflexota; Anaerolineae; Anaerolineales; Anaerolineaceae.